This is a small nuclear RNA of Phascolarctos cinereus (koala), 101 nucleotides long. The record is from Ensembl. Lineage: Eukaryota; Metazoa; Chordata; Mammalia; Diprotodontia; Phascolarctidae.
GUGCUCACUUUGGCAGCAUAUAUACUAAAAUUGGAACUACCAGAAAAGAUUAGCGUGGCCCCUGCAAUGACAUGCAAAUUCAUGAAGCAUUCCACAUUUUU